This is a long non-coding RNA of Carassius gibelio (silver crucian carp), 1365 nucleotides long. RefSeq lists it as uncharacterized. The record is from RefSeq and is a predicted model, not a curated record. NCBI's taxonomy places the organism in Eukaryota, Metazoa, Chordata, Actinopteri, Cypriniformes, Cyprinidae. The transcript has 3 exons.
UGGACUAGCGUAUGUUCCACAAAAUAGCCAUUUGGUUUGCUUACAAAGCCGAUACAACUAUAAAGUCAGAAGCCAUCAAACUCUUUGUGUUAUUCAAGCCGUAUAGAAGACAAACUUAAACUACGAAUUACAGCAGUAUUUUCCCACAGUUCAGUUGAUGCUUCACAUUUGCUGAUGAACCUUCUGAGAUCUUUGCAGGCUAAUACAUCUCCUCCCAUCCGAGAAGAAAUAAGAAGAGCAGAAACAGGAUGGAUUGAAAGAGAGCGGGUGAAAAAUGAAGUCUAAAAUAAUCGAAAGCCAAUUAAUAAUGUCAAACAUGCUAUCUGUCAUGGGGACGGGCUGUUGGCUAAUGAGUGUGUUUAUCGUGUGGGCUGAGCGAAGUGAGUGCAAUGGCAAAAACUUUGUCCCGAUCACGACGCACCUGUCAGACCAACACCUCAUCACUGGCACAUCGAGGGCAAACAUCAUUUUAUACGCCACUCUUUUUUUUCCCCCUGGAAUUAACUGCAGUCCAGGGAGGAUCUGCAGGACUUCAGAGCCAAUGGAUGAUUCACUUAAUUAUGGAGGCAGACUGGAGAAACACUUGUGUAAUGAUCUGCUGAAAGACAUGACUGCUUCAGAACUGACUUAAGCUGUGUUGCAAAUCGUUGUACUAUGCUGUGUACUUUCACUAUAUACACAGUGUACUUGUGCAGUAUCUAGUGCAGGGAUUCCCAACUUUUUUGUCAUCUGAACCUCUUUGACCGAAGAUAUUUUCUUGAGGCUAGGAUUUGGAUUUUAAAUUAUUAUUACGUUAAUUAUAUCAAUAAUACAAUCCAUUCACAUGUUUAAUGAUUACAUGACAUGCAGUUUAAACAAACGAAAUGCUCCCUUUUUAAAAUAAGUGUUUUAAUUUGGUAGAUUUAAUUUGAAAAUGCAUGCCUUGUUUUAAUUUAAUUUAUUUCUCUUUCGGUUCUGUUAUUUCUCUUUGAGUUAUGUUUAAGGUAUAGUCAGUAUUUUGGAUGAUGGUCUAUCAUUGCUGUUAAAUUGAUUUUGAAUAAGCUAGACGCAAAAUGCCACGUUUAAAAAAAAAAAGAAACAAAUUGUGGUUGGUCAUUUUAAAUAUCGGUCAGACAGUCUUUUCCUUUCUAAGCAGAUGGUUCUUGGAUGGAAUAAGCGGUAACGUGGACCAGACUCCAUGGCGCAAGUCAAAUGUGUGGCUAUUUGAGACUAGUACUUUGGGAAAAGAGUGAGGAUUUGUUAUGGACAUGGACUGAAACUGAUUUUGUCUUGUAUUAAUAGAGCCAGAUCAUCUGUAGAUGUUUGCUGAUGGAAUUAACUGUGACUUGCAUAAAAUAUAAACACAAUAAAACCACAUUAAUAUAA